CCCCGGCAUCCUUCCCUCCAAGAACUUCCCACCUUGCUCUUGGGGAGACUCGAACUCACAACCUCUCGGUUGAAAGUGGGGGUUGCUUACCAUCAGUAGUUAGUGAUUAUGAAAAGAAAAUUAGGAUAUUGAGGAUUGGAUUGGAAUAAAUCAAGAUCAUUCCUAACUAGGCUCGAAGAAAUAUUAAUCAAGUCCGCCCUUCUGUUCAUGGGCUAUAGAUUCUCUUUUUUUUUUUUUCAGGAGAGAUUCUCAAGUUAUAUACCUUAUACCUGAAUGGUCAGAGAAUCCCUGAACCUCAUGUGAUGGUUUGAUCCAAUUGCUUGUAACUCCAACUGAUGCUGAGCAACCAACUCCAUCAGCAUGACAUUUGAAGCAACGCGAUGGACCUACAAAAGUAGCCAAUGUCUUUAGAGAAAAAGCCAAACUAAGGACCACAUAAAGAACGAAAAGAAAAUGAUAAUACUAAUAAAGACACAUCUUCUCAUUUAUAUGAUAAGCAAAUAGCAAUUAGGCUUUCAUCUAAAUUUUAUUAUUGGUAAUCAAAUCAAAAUUCCAGUCAAAUAUGUCUAGAAGCAGAAUCAGGAGCACUGAGUGUUAACUUAGGCUGAAUGCCUCCAAGCAAUUUGAAUAGAGCGCUGAAUUCAUUCCAAUAACUUGAUAAAUAUUUUUUAUAAACAUAAACAAAUCAAAGUUCUUGAUAUCAUCGAAUUCUGAUUCUUUCUUUCAAGAGGUCCAGAAGAGAAACAAUGGUGCCACCCUUACCAAGCAAGAAUGUUUAAGCUCUCUAUGCGCAUUUGAAAGCCGGUCGUAGUCGGGGCAUUAAACAUCAAAUAAAGAUAUUUAAAAAAUGGUAAAAUAGUGGCUACAUCUUAUGCAGUAGCGGCUGACGGAGUUUUUGGUAUUCAACCACCCAUAACACUUUAAACAACAACUACCAGUGACUGCCCUUCUCUUUCUGGGUUUCAAGCAAUAAAAAAAUAAAUGAUAUACAAAAUUAUUUAUUCGCAGAUAAAUGCAACAGAAAUUAGAAACACAGUUUUGAGUUCUCACGUAUUCUUCUAAGCCCUCUUGAUUUGAAAGCAAAACUUAUCAGUUAGUGGAAUCAAAAUUAUAAUCUCAAGCUCUAACCACAGAAAAUACAACCAAAAAACCUGCCACUGAAGCAACCAAAGUGCAGUAAAAGCUCAAGGAAAGCAAAAAUACUCAUUAAACAGCAAAUCAGUAGGUUGUCCCACACCGAUUGAUGUGUGACCAUUGGUAAAUAGAAUUAAAAGCAACACUUUGACACCAGAAUAAAUGCCACCAAUAAGUCAGUAUAGUUAAGACAUACAACCACCAUUACAAUAGAAGUUAUUGCCAAAAAAUAAUACCUCCAUGACAAUACAAGAAACUCCUCAUCACAUACUGCUGAGUAUAUAAGAGAGGAAAUAAACCCAAAAAAAUCAAAUUUAUAGCUAAUGGAUGCUAAUUUUUUUUUUUUAAAGAAGUCAAGAAAUAUGAUAAUCUAAAUAAAAUGUCAACCCAACAAAAAAAUGAAGUGAAGAAACAGAAAUCAAAUCCUGUCAUCUAACAGACACAAAAAAAGAGGACUUUUUGGGUCUCUUUUAGAUCAAAAGCUACUGUGAUUGUAAAGUAAGAAGAGAAAAAAUAUUUAAGGACUUACUGAUGGAGAUUGAUGAUGAAGGCGUUGAGAUGAACAUGAAGAAAGAGACAGUCAAAGAAAAAGAGUAAAGAACUGUGUAAUUAAAUUAAAGAGAGCGCAAAACAUUAAUCGUAUCGAAGAUUUUUGGUCGCUCUGACCCCAAACUAGAGCGUGUCUCAGUUGAAGUCUGAUGAGUGGGUCAGUGGCGUUGGACACACGUUGAUUCGGAGGCUGGUCAUGUGCGGCUAAUAUGUACGCGUGACUUGUGUGUGGUUUCUUUUUUGACGGCUCUGAAUAUGUAUUUUAUUUUUAAAAAAUUAAAAGUUAUUGUAUAAAAGAAAAUUUUCACCCACGAAUUGUCAUAAAUUAUUUUUUAGACGUUGAUUGCUUUAAUUUUUUUUGCAAAAACUGAAACAAACAAUAUUUUUAAAAAUAUAAGGCCAUAAGAAGCCAAUUUAUAGUUGCGCACUAUAUUUAGGUUAGGUUUCAUUUUUAGUUCAACUUUUCGCGAGAUAUUUUAUACGUUAGAUCAAGUUAUUAACCGAUUACAAAUUUUAAUUACCAACAUAUCAUAUAAUGAAUUAAAAAUGAUGCAUGGUGUCGAUUUACAUUUAGAGUAUAGUUCAUAUACAAUUAUUCCAAUUUUAACAAUUGAACUUAAGAUUUUAUAUUUGUUUUUCCCCCACUGUAAUUGCUAUGUUAUGUUUUCGGAAUUCUUAGUAUUAUAGUUAUCUAGUCGCUAUUCUAUUUUGGCUAAAAAUUCUAAAUAUUAAAUGGCAAAACAUUUAAAAGUAGAAUAAUUGAUUAACCAUAAUUCGGUCAUUUACUUGAAUUUAAAUAUUUGCCAGUAUGAUGUCUGGAAUUGAAUGUUAUCACUGAUAUUCUUCUGGCCUUUGUCUUAAAUUAUAUGAGUAAAUGUUAGCAAUUAAUAUCAGGAAUUGAACAUACCAAUUACCAUUUGCGCAAUAUGUUGAGUUUAAUAUAUUUUAUCGGCCAAUAUUCAACCUUUAUUUUUGAUUGUUAUCUUCAACCCUUGAAUACAACUAAGUGUUAAAGACAUAAUUAAAUAGAUAAAUGUGUUUUUUGUCUAACAGCUUUAAGCUUUUGGAUGAGAUGGUCACACACUUUAACAUAGUACUAAAGCAACGCUCCUGAGUUCAACUCUCCACCCAGAGUUCGACUCUCCACCCAAUAUCCAUUCAUAUUAUCUAGUAAAAAAUAGGUUGAAUAAUCAAAUUUUAAAUAAUGGGUUAAAUAUGGAUAAGCACCAUAUUAUCCUCUUAGAAAUUGGAUAAUCAAUGGAUUAAAUUUUUAAACUUGCAAAGACUUAAAUUGGGGGAUUCUCAACAUUAGGAGAUUAUGAAUUCUCCCAAAAGUGAUUAUAUUCAAACAAACAUAGAUAAUAUGGAUAUUCAUAAUAUCCGUCAGUUAACCCAUUUUCUGUUUGUAUUAAAUAUGGCUCGAGUCAAAUAUUUUAUCGGUUUUGCAUUAUUUAUUUUCAAUUGGCCCAUAUCCUUUUCAACCAUCCGUUUGCCACCCCAUAAAUGAGACGGUCACACAUCUCAACAAUGAAGAAUCAAAGGCCAAAGUCUAACAAGAAUUGCCAAACUACUUCAACGAGCACAUGCUUGUCAACCAUUAAUUGAAACAAAAACAAAAAAGAUACAAUUUUUGUUUGUAAAUUGUAAUGACGCAAUUUGUUUGGAAAAGUCUAAUUCUUGUUGAUUAAGUUCACUUGUCAAAAUACACCCGUAAGCAUUUAAUUUUAUCGAAUUAAUCAAUAAAAUAACAUGGAAUAUAUUUUAAUAUAUCAGUCCAAAUAAAUAUUAUAUUCUAAUAUAAUUGGAUUAAUUAUGUAAGUCUAAUAUAUAAAGAGUUAAUAAAUAAGUCCAAAAUGUGUUGGGUUAACCCAUUUAAUUGGGCUACAACUGAUGUGCCCACUUCAUUAAGCUCAAAAUGUCAUCUUCCUAGUGUCACGAUCCAAACCGAAGGAUCACGAUCGGCACUGGUGCCUUACUCAACCGAGCACCAACGUAACAUGUCUUUCUUAUCGUACUAUCAUUGAUAGCUGGGCCAACAUGACCACCACUCCUAAUGUAUAACUAUAAUUGGGAAAAUAUAGUAUCAAUGAUCCAUCUUUCUUGAAACUUAAGUAUAUAUGGGCCAUCAAGGCCUCUGACAUACUAUACAAAAUGAACAUGUAUCUGCAAAGCCUUUACAAGUAUUUGAUAUCAAAUGCGAUAGGGUACCGGUCUACCCAUAAGUCUGUAGCAAAAUUCUCACAUGAUGGCUUAUAGACUGGACAGCACUCCGAAUGAGGUGGAGUCUUAUCGAUCCUUCGCUGAAUGCUAACCUCCUCUACUAUGAGGGCUCGUCAAACUAACUGUCUAUACAUACACGUAUGAAUGCAACGUCCCCAGCAAAGGACAUCAGUAUGAACAAUCUAUCGAGUAUGUGAUCGAGUCCAACCCGACACCACUAUAAAGUAGCAAGAACGGUCGAUGCAGCUUUUACCCGAAAAGGUCGGGAUCGAAUCCAAAGGGAGCUAGAAUGAUUGGGAAUUGGAUUCCUAUCUAAGAUAAUAGUGCGUAGUGCUUUUAAUUACACUUCCAAUCAUAAUUUUUUGUUUGUUACUUCUAAUUUUAUACUAUAUGAUGAAAUUAAGCUAAGUAUAAAUGCCUGUAACGUUUUUUAAAUGGUUAACGAGGCACUAGGGAAGUGGCUUUCUCCUAAGUGAAUACUUGACGGGUUCAAAAGCCUAAGGCAAAGUUGUUAUGUUGGGGAGUGCGAUAUAGCCAAUGCACGAAACUACUCACUCUAUACCUCCUGGUAGCUUGAAUGACUUUGCCCUAAUUGACUUUCUGAAGAUCAAUUGGUUUUCAAAAUUGUGCAAGCAAAAUAGGCUCAAGUCGGGUAUUAUUACUAUUUCUAGGUUUAACCCUUUAGUUGGGGUUAUCAAUCUCUUGAAUACACACCAAUUCCUUGUUGGACUGAUUUUCUUAGACUCAAGCCCUCAUUCUCAAGAAGAGCCCAAGUUAAAAAGGCACAAAUUAGUGUUUGUAACUACUAAAUCAACAUGAAAAAUACAAAUCAAUCCAAAUAUUAACCACCCAUAAACAUCUAAACCUUAAAACAAAAGACUCAUCAAAUACCCACACUAGGGUCAAGCUACAACCCUAGAUAAUGAGUCUAACUACUCAUAAUAACAGAAUAAAUCAUAUAUUGAAAUGAAGAAUAACUCAUAAAAUACAAUUACAAGCUAAGAUUAGAAGAUUCAAUGUUAAACUAGCUAUAAAAUUACUCAAAAUAGCUUAAAACAACCGUUUACGUGCUCUGCUAAGAUAAAUAUCCCCUAAAAAUCUAGAAAAGAAGUAUUAUGAAAGUCGAAUUUUCUAGACAAAAAUACCACUAGUGGAGGUACCCCAGUCCGCAAGAAAUGGACUGCAAACUCGAUGGGGCUUUUAGCUUCAAAUAUUUGUUCUCUAGAUCCCGGCACCGCGGACCGAAAUAAAUGGACCGUGGCUGCGGUGGGUUUACCGUUGCCGAACAAAAUGCACUGCAGUCAGCUGUGUUUUGAAACUUCAAAUCUUAGCUCUCUGAAUCCCUUCUCCGCGUUCCGCAACACAUGGAUUGCGGCGGCGAAGAAUCUACCGCGGACCGCAUUGUUUGAGCUUCCAAAGUUGCAUCCUCUCUGAACUUUUCCACCAUGGACCGCAUAAAUGCAUUGCGGUCGCUGUGGGUCUAUUGCUGCUGCGGUGGAUUUACUGUUGUAGUAGUACUUUAACUUGUUCUUGAUACUUGAGCAGGUUUUACUCAUUUUUGAGAUGCUUUUGACUUCCUUGUCACUUUUUGACCAAACACCGCAAACAAGCACAACAUGUAAGCUUUCGAGAUUACUUGUAUACAUUUUUAGUCCAAAACUCAGCAAAAAGAAGUAUAAAAUAGACUAAAAUCCCUAGUUAUCAACUCCCCCAAAGUUAGUCUUUGCUUUUUCUCAAGCAAACUAAGUAAGUCCCACCUCCUUAAGAAUAAAACCAAGAAACUUCAGCUGACCUAAAGUGACCUCAUCUAGCAUCAAUUAGGACUAACAAUUGCCCUUAAUUCAAAUGAAUCAUUAAUAACAUUCAACCUUUUUAAGCAUCAUGGUUUUAGUACAACACAGAUUGGCUUAACUCAUCAAGGAAACUCUUUCUGCUACUUUGGUCAUUAUAGAACCCAAACUCAUUCUCCUCACUCUUCCUUAAGCAAGACCUCACUUUUAGAUUGUAGCACUCAGAACGAAGAUUGUGGAAAACACACUCAUCUCUCUCAAAGAAAGGUUAAAAGUACGGCUCUAAGUACCAUAAGCUUGCCCCUUAUGUAAGUCACUACUAAUGUAAGCUUCACUCAACUCAAGAUCAUAUAGGGCUUUUGUGGGGAUACAAUGAAGGCUUUUGGUUCAGGAUAGGAAAUAUUUGGUCUAAGUAGAUUUCAUCUUCCCUUAAUUACUUCAUUUGCUUCAUUUUACAGUAUCAUAAUAUCAUAAUUACAGUCCAACAUCAUCAAAAUAAGGUUACCCCCUCAAAUGAAAGAGUAACUAGUUAUCCUCAAUAUUAACUAGCCAAAAAUAGCUCAAGAAUAAGAUAGAGUAAAGAAAACUUCCUAUUGGUCCUCUGUCUACAUGGAGUCAUAAGCCUGGGUCCCUGGGUCUUAUGAAUGCUCGGGAACCUGUGACUGAAUCGAUGUAACUUGUUCCUGCUCUGGGACCUGAGGCUACUCUGAGACCUGAGGCUAGCUAAAGGAAUCUCCCUGCGGGUCCUCCAACUCAAUCACUACAUCAUCUGUCUGGGGGAUCACUCUCCUCCUCUUUUGGUGCCCUCUCCAACUCCUGCUCCUGCUCAGUCUGAGCUGUUGGAGGUUGGUCAUGCAACAAUAGCUCCAACGGUAGAUGAUCAACAACCUUCAUCUUAUCCACUUCUACCCUCAACUCCUUCAUAGACUCCUUUGAGGCUCUAGUCUUUCGCAGCUUCUUUGUCUCCUUGGUCAGCUCCUUUAGUGACGUAUCAUGAGCACCUAGAAAAUCCAAAAUCAGCUGCUGGUUAUCCAGGAGAUUCUUAUGGUUGUCCAGAAGCUCCUUGAGAGUAUCCUCCACUGAAUCUGGAACCUGUGGUUAUGGAGGUACAGACUAAGCUGCCACCGAGCUAGAAAGCACAGACAACUUAGAAGUAGUUGACUGCAUCUAAUUGUUGAUACUUGCAAGUGUUUGGCUCAAAUGGUAGACAGUCAAUGGGUAGGCUGAGGAUGAUGGAAUAUCUGGAGUGGAGGUAGAUGGUCCAGAGGGAAUAUCUGGUGUGGCUGUGGGAGGCUGAGAAGAAGCGACUACUGCUACUACUGGCUCUUCAGACUGGCCCGUAGAAGCAGUGGCUUUGCCUUUAGUAUCUUUGCCUUCGGGGGUUGUAAUCAGCCUUUUUUAGGCUAUACCAUGAAAAGGGCAUUUUUGGUUUCACCUUCACGUCAAAAUUUCUUUUCUCCGCAUUCUGGUACUCAAAAUACAUUAUAAGGAAGUGUGAGAAGGGGUAUGAUCUAGCACCCUCAGGAGAAUUAUUCUGCUAAGCUUUUGUUUUUUACUUUUUCUUUUCCCUCCAAUUUGUUUCCCCUCUAAUUACUCCCACCUAAAUAUUAUAACUCUUCUCUGAUAUUCCCAGAAACGCCUAAAAAUUGUCUCAUUCUUAAAAAAGCUUUUGCAAUUUUCAUGGUGUAAGAAAACCUCCGCCUCUAGAAACCAAAAUUUUUGCCGAUUGAAAGGUAUGAUUUCUAUCUAUUUUUCUGUACUUCUAUGUCUUUUCUCUUAAUUUCUCUUUAUACACCUCUAUCUCUAUUUCUAUAUGUUAGGAUGUUGUCAGACUGAUUCAUGUUCAUGAAGUGAAGGAUGAAACUUUUUUUAUUGAUAAUUAUAAAUUUAAUUUGGUUUGCACUUUUUGCUUACUGAGAUAUUUAUGUUUGUGCUAUAUCUGUAGAUUCUAUGGUACUACUUCUCCCCCCCAAUUAUUUUAUACAAAUUCUCUCAAAAAUGCAAAUAUCAAAUUAAACUUCAGGUUAACACUUUUUUAUCAUUCUGAUGUGUCAAUAGUGAAUUUUAAUGGUGAAAAAAAUCUGAAACUUAAUUCCAUAGAAUUCAUGUGUCAAUUAAAGAUUCUUUAAAAAAACAGUAUUGGGUUGUUAGGUUUUUCACAUUUUGAUCAUUCUGAUGUGUCAAUAGUUUUCAUGAAUUCGUUUUGUAUAAUGCGGCUUAGUGUUUAAUUGGUGUUGAUUCAUUGGGAAAAAUUGCAUUAUAAUGAAUUUUAGUCAUAGUUUGCGAGCGGCCGUCUUAGGUGCUUCUUAAUGAUUAUGCAUAUGCGAAGUCGUUUUUGAGCCAGUUGAAUAUGCACAUUUAUGAGGUUUUGGACUGUCCAAAGCAUCCAAAAGUAUCCGUUCAUGGUUUGAAAUCAAAGACUUGUUUGAUAUUUCACCUGACUGUUUAAAACUCUUCAUGUCUGCUGCUGCGAUCUGGACAGUUGAUGGUGCGUCUGUACAGAUCUUUUCAGUCAGUUGCGUCUUUAAAUUGUUUGGAGUUCCCUUUUUACUGAUGUCCAGUUUUCAAUUUUCUUUACUGAAGUGCUAUCCCUCUUUGCACCUCCAUUCAAUGCAUCAGUAGCUUCAGCCUUUUCAACUACUUCAAUUGCAUCAUUCGUUUGAUCACACAAUCCUGCUUUGUUGUCCUGCACAGCUGAUACCCUCUGCCCGCUAGACUGCCCCUCACUGCUAGGACGAGGCAGAAUUUUUUGCUGCACAUUAUCAUCUCUUAAAGCUGGUAAGUUAACUCCAACUUCCUCCUCAUGUAUAAGUGUAUCAAAAGCAUUUUGAGUUAUGAUAGCUUUUGAGACAAUUUGUCGCACAACUGGGAAAGUUGACUGCUGCUGCAUAUUUUUGUCACGACCCGAACCCCAGUCGUGAUGGCGCCAAACACCUUGUAAGGCAAGCCCGACCAUUUAAACAUUUCCAGCCAAAAACAUUAAGUUAAUUACCAUUUUAAAGAUAAAAUCCCAGUUUAAAAUAGUAGAUAAUAAUGCGGAAAAUAAAAUCCCAAGUAAAUACAGCUAAAGGAUCCGGCGUUAGAAGUCUGAGCCUCUAAGUACAUUGAACAAUAUCCUAAACAUAUAAAAAUCUAGACAUGGAAGCAAAAGAUAGAUAAGAGGAGACAUUAGGUUCUGCGGACGCCAGCAUCUACUUGAUAACUCCGGAAUCGAUCCAAGCAACAAAGUUUGAAAUAGUAGAUAAUACUGCGGAAAACGAAAUCCCAAGUAAAUACAGCCAAAUGAUCCUGCAUCACAAGUCUGAGCCUAUAAGUAUUCUGAACAAUAUCCUAAACAUAGAAAAAAUCUAGACAUGGAAGCAAAAGAUAGAUAAGAGGAGACAUAAGGUUCUGCGGAUGCCAGCAGCUACCUUGAUAACUCUGGAACCGAUCCAGGCAAUAGAAAUAAGCACAGCUAAGCCUCCGGGAUCCCUGUAUUUGCACACAAGGUGCAAGAAGUAGAGUGAGUACUUCCAACUUAGUGACUAGUAGCAAUAAAUAAUAACUGAAUAUAAGAAAUCCGGUAAAAACACUAUACAGUUCUAUGUGCAACAGCAAGAACAGUAAAUAAGUACCGAACAGGGAGAAGAGUCUGAUAAAUACUUUCCUUUCCGUCCGACCAGUUAUUAACGCUGCUGCGACGCACAGCCCGAUCCAACCAUAUAUAUAUAUAUAUAUAUACACUACUGCGGCACGCAGCCCGAUCCAAUAUAAUAUAUAAAAUGAUGCGCUCACUAGGGGUGUGUACAGACUCCGGAGGGGCUCCUUCAGCCCAAGCGCUAAAAUACUGCAGUUUGCAGUCCGAUCAAUUGGGGCUCCUUCAGCCCAACUCCUAUCCUCGAGGCCUCUUGGCCUCCCUCUCCUCUCUCUCCUAACGGCGAGCCAUCUCAAUAUCGUGGGCUAUGUCCACCGCCUCCUCAAAGGUAUGACUCAGGACCCUCUCUCAAGUCAUCAGAAUACAAAUGGGAUAAAUGAGCCCGUCCACAAAUCGUCAGAUCCUCUCCUAAUCCGUCUGGACUAUCCACGUAGCAUGACGAUCUAACUCUGCAAAUAUCACCUCAUACUGCAUCACAGACAUAUCCCCAUGGCGAAGCAUCUCAAACUGCCUAUGUAACUCCUCCCUCUGCGACCGAGGUACCCACUUCUCCAAAAAGAUAGUGGAGAACUCCUGCCAAGAUAACGAUGCUGCAUCUACCAGCCUAUGCCUCUCAUAUGCCUCUCACCAGGUGAAGGAUGCUCUUGAGAACUGAAAAGUGGUAAACGAUACCCCACUAGUCUCCAAGAUCCUUGCAGUCCUGAGCAUGCGUCGACACUUGUCGAGAAACCCCUGGGCAUCCUCACCCGGAACACCGCUAAAAGUUGGAGGUGAAAGCGUGCUAAACCUCUCCAUACGACGCUGCUCGUCAUCUAGCAUCACUGGUACCCCAUCACUCUGAACUAGAACAACUGGAUGAACAGGGGCAACUGGCUUAACUGGUGGUGCCUCUGGGGUCUGCAAACCCUGUGCACCCUUCUCUGGAGUGCGAGCUGCGGGGGUCUGAUGACCACCCCGGUCUGGGAUAUAGCUGCGGUAGUAGUUGAGAUUGCCUGAGCCAGGCCGAUGCAAACUGAUAAGAUCUGAGCCAGGGCUUCCUGAAGACCCGGAAUCACAAUAGGCACUGUUAGUGCGUGAGCAGGUGCUACUGGAACCUCUACAGCUGGAGGCUGAUCCUGAACGGGGGCAACUAGUACGGCCCCUGCUGCUCUGCCUCGACCACGACCACGGCCGCGUCCCCGACCUCUAGUGGGUGGCAAUCGUGGUCGUCCGCCACGUCCGGUCGCACGGGUUCUCACUAUCUGCGAGAGAAUAAAAUACAGAAGUUUAGUCCUCAGAUCCACAAAGUUGCACGACAAGAAUUUCAAGAAUAUGAAGUUUUUCCUAAAGGUUUUGCAGCCUCCCGAGGAUAAGUACAGACGUCUCCGUACCGAUCCACGAGACUCUACUGAACCGGCUCAUGACUCACAGACCUGGUAACCUAGGCUCUGAUACCAACUUGUCACGAUCCGACCCAGGUUGUGAUGGCGCCAAACACCCUGUAAGGCAAGCCCGACCAUUUAUCAUUUCCAUACAAAAACAUUAAGUUAACUACUACUUUAAAGAUAAAAUCCCAUUUUGAAAUAGUAGAUAAUACUGUGGAAACGAAAUCCCAAGUAAAUACAGCCAAAGGAUCCGGCGUCACAAGUCUGAGCCUCUAAGUACUCUGAACAGUAUCCUAAACAUAGAAAAAAUCUAGACAUGGAAGCAAGAUAGAUAAGAGGAGACAUCAGGUUCUGUAGACGCCAGCAGCUACCUUGAUAACUCCGGAACCAAUCCAGGCAAUAGAAAUAAGCACAGCUAAGCCUCCGGGAUCCCUGUAUUUGCACACAAGGUGUAGGGAGUAGAGUGAGUACUUCCAACUCAGUGAGUAAUAGCAAUAAAUAAACAGCUAAGCCUCCGGGAUCCCUGUAUUUGCACACAAGGUGCAAGAAGUAGAGUGAGUACUUCCAACUUAGUGACUAGUAGCAAUAAAUAAUAACUGAAUAUAAGAAAUCCUGUAAAAACACUAUACAAUUCUAUUUGCAACAGCAAGAACAGUAAAUAAGUACCGAACAGGGAGAAGAAUCUGAUAAAUACUUUCCUUUCCGUCCGACCAGUUACUAAUGCUACUGUGGUGCGCAGCCCGAUCCAACCAUAUAUAUAUAUAUAUAUAUAUAUAUAUAUAUAUAUACUGUUGCAGCGCGCAGCCCGAUCCAAUAUAAUAUAUAAAAUGUUGCGCUCACUGGGGGUGUGUACAGACUCUGGAGGGGCUCCUUCAGCCCAAACGCUAAAAUACUGCGGUGUGCAGUCCGAUCCAUAUAAUAUAGUACUACGACGUGCAGUCCGAUCCAUAUAAUAUAAUACUGCAGCGUGUAGUCUGAUCCAUAUAAUAUAAUACUGCGGCGUGCAGCCCGACCCGAUAUAUAUGUAUAUAUAUCAAAUAGCCUCGCCAUAGGGUCCUUGUCCCCUCUCAGUCAAUAUAGACUUGUCCUCUCGGGCCCACUCAGCUAAGACAGGGUAUUCAACCUUAGGUAUUGCUCAUUUAUGGUGCAAGUUGCAAAGUCCGAUUUAUUUCAUGAUUUACAAGCAAAGUUAGGAAAGCUGGUAUGUGUCCAAUAGGUAAAGUGAGGUCAAACAUCUCAACAUGCUCCCUAGGAGUUCUACAGAUCGGCACAAGGCCCCAAACAUGGCAACUAGCCCAAAAUAUACGAGCACAAGCUCAUUCUCAGUCAAGAAGUACAGUAAGACACCAAUCGGGAUGGACCAAGUCCGACUCCCCAGCAGAUAUAUCACCAUGCUCAUCACGAGAUGCAUGUCUCAGCUCAACAUAGCACCGCAUAGUGCAAAUACGGGGUUUCUAACCCUCAGUAUAUCAUUCAUAGCCAUUACUCACCUCAAACCGGCCAAAAUCCUAGCUCGCCUUGCGCUUUCUUGCGAAUCGAUAUCCUCGGGUGCAAAUCUGACCAAAACCACAAGGAAUAUGUCAUAAUAGGCUAAUAGAAUAAAAAACAAUAGAAAGGACUCGAAAAGCACCCAAAAAUACGAAGUUGGCAAGACUCGAGCCCCGGGCUCACUUCUCAAAAAAUUACAAAAUUUACAUCUUCGGAAUCCUCGUCUUGCCAUGAGUCCGUAUAUAUAAAUUUCAUCAAAAUCGGAGUCCAAAUGGGCCAUCAAAUCCCUAAUUUUCAUUUCAAAAACCAAACUCUAGUUUCUUCAAUUUUCCCCCAUAUUUUCAGAGAAUUAAUGUAUGAUUCUUCAAUACAAUCACAUAAUUAGCUCAUAAAUCUUACCUCAAGUCAAAACCUAGGUGAAAUCCUCUUACUACCUCGUCCAAUAGCUCCAAAAUGUGCUCAACAAUGGUGGAAAUUGAUAUUAGCUCGCGGAUAAAAUGUUUAUAAACCCUUAUGUCCGCCCAGAAAAUCCCUUCAUCACGUUCGCGACUCUAGCCACGCGAACGCGAUGCUUUAUCUGAUCUAUCUCCCAGGCCCUCAUACGCAAAAGCGACCCUCACAACGCGAACGCGAUGGCCCACUCCCCUGGCCUACGUGAACGCGUCACCAUAUCACGCGAACACGAUCAAGAAGACUCCACUACUACGCGAUCGCGGCCUCUCCUUCGCUAACGCGAAGGCAAAAAUCCAGGCUCCCAGAUUCCCUCUACGCGUUCGCGUCCACCACCCCGCGAAAGCGAUGCCUUAUGGUCUGCAACACUUAUGAUAGAAAAAUAUGAUCUUUAUACAAGCUAAAAAUGAUCCGUUUGAACCUCUGAAAUCACCCCGAGGCCACGGGACCCCAACCAAAACCACCAAUCUACUCCAUAUCAUCAUACGAACAUGUCCGAAUCAUUAAAAACACAACCUUUAACACGAAAAUCAUCAAAUCAAGACGGAUUCAAGCCUAAGUUCAACUAUAACUUCCGAAUCUCACAUUCGACCAAAAACCCGACCAAACAACAUCCGAUUGACUUGAAAAUUUACACAGAUAUCCAAAAUCACGUAACAAAGCUACUGCAACCCUCAGAAUUCCAUUCUGACCCUCGGAUCAAAAUCUCACCUAUCAAUCGGAAUUCACCGAAAUUCAACUUAGCCAAUUCAAGCCAAAUUCUGCACCAGACCUCCAAAUUCAGUUCCGAUUUCACUCCCAAGUCAUAAAUCACCACUCGAAACUAGCGGAAUCAUCGGAGAUCUAUUCCGAUCCCUUUAAAUCAUAAGUCAACAUUCGAUUGACUUUUCCAAACUAGCCUUAUCUUAAAAAGACUAUUUGUCUCAAAUCCAACCAUUCUCUGACCGAAUCACUUCAAACUCUACAAAUACAUAUAUUGUAGCAUAAACCGGGAAAAACGGGACGGUAGCUCACGUGUCGAUGGGCCGGGUCAUCACAAGUUUUCAAUAACGGAGUGUUACCUUGCCUACUUGAAGAUCGCAUCACUUCAUUCCAGCUACCCUUAGUUUUUCUCUUUGUUAUCCCAUCAACUUUAGUAAAUGAUUUUGGGGAUACCUAGUGGCGGAUCUAGGAUUUUUGGUUCGUGGGUGCUUAAUUUUUUUUGACAAAAAAUAUUAUCAAUUACAUCAUAUAAAUGCAUAACUAUUUGAACACAGUGAUAAUAAACUACUGAGAAAACUCAUUCAGUAGUAUUAAUAUGGACAUCGUGGAACUAUGAUGAAUAACACAAUUGGUCUUCAAAAAGGAUCUAACUUCGGAUUCCUUUUUAAGUAGUUUUUCUUUCUUUACUAUAGUGAUUUACAACAACAACAACAACAACCCAGUAUAAUCCCACUUAGUGGGGUCUGGGGAGGGUAGUNNNNNNNNNNNNNNNNNNNNNNNNNNNNNNNNNNNNNNNNNNNNNNNNNNNNNNNNNNNNNNNNNNNNNNNNNNNNNNNNNNNNNNNNNNNNNNNNNNNNNNNNNNNNNNNNNNNNNNNNNNNNNNNNNNNNNNNNNNNNNNNNNNNNNNNNNNNNNNNNNNNNNNNNNNNNNNNNNNNNNNNNNNNNNNNNNNNNNNNNNNNNNNNNNNNNNNNNNNNNNNNNNNNNNNNNNNNNNNNNNNNNNNNNNNNNNNNNNNNNNNNNNNNNNNNNNNNNNNNNNNNNNNNNNNNNNNNNNNNNNNNNNNNNNNNNNNNNNNNNNNNNNNNNNNNNNNNNNNNNAACUUCCCACCUUGCUCUUGGGGAGACUCGAACUCACAACCUCUCGGUUGGAAGUGGGGGUUGCUUACCAUCAGAGCAACCCCUCUUGUCUUACUAUAGUGAUUUAGAUAAAGUAAAAUAAGUUGUAAGAAAAUGUAAACAAAAAGUCAGCAGAGAAAAUAAAGUCUUAGCAGCAUUAGAAUAGUGGCUACUGGAAAGAGCCAAAAAUGCCUAUUAAAAUGUUCUUGUUAUAAAAUUGAACUCCCGCUACCUACUUUCAUAACAUUUCAGCCUAUUUCUUGACCAAAGCACCAUCAAAGUUUUUGUUUCCUGGGUUCUUGUUAACGUUUCAUAUCCAUUUACAUAUAAAGUCUUGUUUCCAGUAAAUUAAAUAGCUCAUUGUGUUUUUUAUUGUUUUUUUUUCUCUUGUCUGAUGUUAAGUAGAGUAAUAACUGAUAAUCGAUGAAAAAAGACUUUAAUCUAUCUCCUAAGAGUCAGACACUGUGGAGCCUCAAAAUAGUAUUAAACUAGUUACUUUGCUUUGUCAGUAGUAAAAAAAAUAUCGUCUUAAAACAAAGGAAGUUCCAUAGAAUGUAGAUAUAGAAACUAAAGAUUAAGAAUACAAUAAACUAGAACCUGGUGUUAUAAUACAAAAUAAUAGUUUAAUAUGCAUUUUUUAUUGUUUUUAAUUUUUUCCCAGUCCUUAAAAUAUAGUGCAUUUUUAUUUUUGAAAUGACUUCUUUGAGCUAUAUAAUCAUGUUAAUAUCUCAUCAAUAACUAUAUUUUUUCUAGAACUACCAUUUAGGUUUAUUUCUCUUUUGCCCUAAAUUAUUUUUAUCUAUUAUUGAAAUUGCAGAAAAGAAAAAAAUUCCUUGAACAGUCAUAGACAAGCGUAGAAGUAAGAAAUGAAUAUAUUAUGAUAGAAUCAGUAAAGAAUAUUUGGAUGGAGUAGAGAAUUUUCUAAACUAUGCCUUUCGUGAAAGAGAAACAAUUUCAUGUCCUUGUUCACAAUGUGUGUUAUACUCUCAAGCAACUCGGGCAACUACAUAUGAUCAUCUUGUGGUUAAUGGUGUUAUGCCAUCACAUGAUACUUUAUAUUUUCAUGGGGAGUCUCUGAAUGAAUCAAAUGGUACUCAUUUAAAUAAUUACAGACAAUUAAAUAUAAGGGGUGAUGAUAUGAGAGGAAUGAUACAUGAUGCUUCUGGAGGCUUUACCCCAGUCUAUGGAAAGUGAUAUUAGUGAAACGGGUGAGAUGGAGCCAAACUCAGAAGAAAAUAAUACUAAUCCAUAUAUAAAUCAAUCUUAUCCAGAGGUGGAUAAGUUUGAACAACUCUUGAAGGAUUCAAAUGAAGAACUAUAUCCUGGAUGCAAGAAGUUUAAUAAACUUUCAUUUCUGCUGCAUCUCUACAAUAUGAAACGGUCAUUCAAAUGGACAAAUGAAUCUUUUAAUGCUUUGUUUGGACUAUUAAAAGAUGCACUGCCUGAGGGUGAAAAGUUGAAGUGGUGGGCUUAAAGUACAAAAAAAUCAUGCUUGUCCCAACGUUUGCAUGCUUUUUAGGAAUAAAUUUGCCAGUAAGGAUGUUAAUAAAUACUUAAUUUGUGGGGCUUCUAGAUGGAAAAAAAUUGAUAGAAAAAUCCCAGCCAAAGUCCUAAGGUAUUUUCCUUUAAAACCAAGACUACAAAUAUUAUUUAUGUGUUCAGAAACUUUUAAGCUUAUGCGGUGACAUCAUGAAGAACGCAACAAAGAUGGAGUUUUACGACAUCUUACAGAUUCUGAAGCUUGGAAAAGCUUCAAUAAUAAAUAUCCAAAAUUCACUAGAGAUCCCCGUAAUACUCGUCUAGGAUUAGCUUCUGAUGGAUUUAAUCCAUUUGGUACAAUGCGAACUGUUCAUAGUACAUGGCCAGUGAUUAUAAUGCCAUAUAAUAUGCCACCUUGGAUGUGCAUGAAGGAAGAGUUCUCUAUUUUGUCAUUACUUAUUCCUGGACCAAAAGGGCCUGGCAAUAACAUUGACGUCUUUCUGGAACCUUUAAUAGAAGAGUUAAUUAUGGGAUGUUGGGGUAGAAACAUAUGAUGUCUUUGCUAAGGAGACAUUUAAAAUGCGAGCAGCUCUCAUGUGGCUAUAAAUAAUUUUCCAGCAUAUGGUAAUCUCUCUAGAUGGUGCACUUAUAGUAAAUUUGCAUUCCCUUCUUGUAACAUAAACACUGAAUCUAGAAGACUCAAACAUGAAAAAAGAUUUUGUUAUAUGGGCCAUUGAUGUUUCUUGAAGCAUGCGCACAAAUAUCGAAAUGAUGCAAAGUCAUUUGAUGGUACUAAAGAAUCAAGACCUGCACCUUAUCCAGUAUCUGGAUCACAAGUUCUAAAUCAAGUUAGAGAUAAAAUUUACUCUCGGUCAAUCAAAUGAAGAUGUUAGCGGGGUGACGAAAAAUACAUGGAAGAAGAGAAGUAUUUCAAUUUUCCUUACUGGGAGUAUAACUUGGUGCGUCAUAAUCUUGAUGUGAUGCACAUAGAAAAAAAUGUGUGCGAUAACUUAAUUUAAAAAUUGUUGGGUCUUGGUAAAAAGUCGAAAGAUAACGUAGAAGCUCGAUUGAACUUGAAGGAGAUGAAAAUAAGGCCAAGCCUAUGGCCUCAAAAUCGAGCUAGUGGGAGGACAUACCUUCCUGCUACUUUUUUCACAAUGUCUCAAAUAGAAAAAAGGGUUAUUUUAUGAAGUACUACAAAACUCCAAGUUUCCACAUGGCCAUGCAUCUAAUAUAUCACGUUGCAUUCGCAAAAGAAAAAUAUCGGGGCUAAAAACUCAUGAUUGUCAUGUUAUAAUGCAAGAACUUCUUCCUCUUGCAUUGCGAAGGUCAACAGAUAAAAGAGUUAGUUUUGUGUUAAUUAAAUUAUGCACAUUUUUCGGGUUCUUUGUAGCAAAGUGCUUAAAAUAGAAGAGUUAGAGUUACUUGAAGAAAAAGUUGCAGUAACAUUGUCUAAUAUGGAAAAACUCUUCCUUCCAUCAUUCUUUACUACUAUGGUACACUUGGUCAUUCACUUGGCAACUGAGGCUAAACUUGCGGGGCCAGUG
RNAcentral lists this long non-coding RNA (17472 nucleotides) under Nicotiana benthamiana. Its description in RNAcentral is "long non-coding RNA (NBEN_LNC015785)". Lineage: Eukaryota; Viridiplantae; Streptophyta; Magnoliopsida; Solanales; Solanaceae. The record is from RNAcentral.